Molecule: ribosomal RNA, 468 nt
Filed under: Streptococcus mutans
Lineage: Bacteria; Bacillati; Bacillota; Bacilli; Lactobacillales; Streptococcaceae
Description: bacterial SSU rRNA
Rfam family: Bacterial small subunit ribosomal RNA
Source: RNAcentral
GACGAACGUUGGCGGCGUGCCUAAUACAUGCAAGUGGGACGCAAGAGAACACACUGUGCUUGCACACCGUGUUUUCUUGAGUCGCGAACGGGUGAGUAACGCGUAGGUAACCUGCCUAUUAGCGGGGGAUAACUAUUGGAAACGAUAGCUAAUACCGCAUAAUAUUAAUUAUUGCAUGAUAAUUGAUUGAAAGAUGCAAGCGCAUCACUAGUAGAUGGACCUGCGUUGUAUUAGCUAGUUGGUAAGGUAAGAGCUUACCAAGGCGACGAUACAUAGCCGACCUGAGAGGGUGAUCGGCCACACUGGGACUGAGACACGGCCCAGACUCCUACGGGAGGCAGCAGUAGGGAAUCUUCGGCAAUGGACGAAAGUCUGACCGAGCAACGCCGCGUGAGUGAAGAAGGUUUUCGGAUCGUAAAGCUCUGUUGUAAGUCAAGAACGUGUGUGAGAGUGGAAAGUCACACAGGG